CGAUGUUUACCCGUGGGUGGGGCCGUGUGGCCAGGUUUCGUGUCGCUCACCCUGCCAGUUGGUGUGACGGUGUGUUGGUGUGAGCUCACAUCUCUGGAAUCAGCGACAUUUCCAAAAAUGUAGAUGUAUGUUUUGGGACAAAAGAAAUUAAAAUUCUGAAUUGUGUAUACAUGACAACCGAUAAAAAGAGAUGCAUUCUGAUAAGGAUUUAGUUUGAGCAUCGUUCUCUUCAAAGACGCCAAAAUAAAAUAUGUACUUGGAAAACCACUGGUCUGGAUUGAUAUUUACUUUAGCC
This is a long non-coding RNA of Physella acuta, 295 nucleotides long. RefSeq lists it as uncharacterized. The record is from RefSeq and is a predicted model, not a curated record. NCBI's taxonomy places the organism in Eukaryota, Metazoa, Mollusca, Gastropoda, Physidae.